Corapipo altera (White-ruffed manakin) is the source of this 279-nucleotide long non-coding RNA. RefSeq lists it as uncharacterized. The transcript is spliced from 3 exons. The record is from RefSeq and is a predicted model, not a curated record. Lineage: Eukaryota; Metazoa; Chordata; Aves; Passeriformes; Pipridae.
GCCACAACAGGCCAACUCAGCCCAGCCUAGCCUAUGGCUGAAGUGGGUGACUCUGUAGCUGCUGGUAAACAAAGGAGUUACUUACUUUUAGUACAGUGAAGAUUUCUACAGGCAAUGGUCUGAUUGGGCCCAAAGCCACACCACCAAGCUGUGAUCCUGGCAAAACCCACAAGGUACCUCUUCUCUUGAUACUGAACCAGCACAUGAAAGGAAAACAGCCCUGUGAACCACCAUGGCCCACUGGUUUUCAAAGAACUCGGAAAAUAAACUAGUGUCUAC